Molecule: ribosomal RNA, 459 nt
Filed under: uncultured bacterium
Lineage: Bacteria
Description: partial 16S ribosomal RNA
Rfam family: Bacterial small subunit ribosomal RNA
Source: RNAcentral
UAGGGAAUCUUCCACAAUGGACGCAAGUCUGAUGGAGCAACGCCGCGUGAGUGAAGAAGGCUUUCGGGUCGUAAAACUCUGUUAUUGAAGAAGAACGUGUGUGACAGUAACUGGUCAUGCAGUGACGGUAUUCAAUCAGAAAGUCACGGCUAACUACGUGCCAGCAGCCGCGGUAAUACGUAGGUGGCAAGCGUUGUCCGGAUUUAUUGGGCGUAAAGCGAGUGCAGGCGGUCUUUUAAGUCUGAUGUGAAAGCCUUCGGCUUAACCGAAGAAGGGCAUCGGAAACUGGGAGACUUGAGUGCAGAAGAGGAGAGUGGAACUCCAUGUGUAGCGGUGAAAUGCGUAGAUAUAUGGAAGAACACCAGUGGCGAAGGCGGCUCUCUGGUCUGUAACUGACGCUGAGGCUCGAAAGCGUGGGUAGCAAACAGGGUUAGAUACCCUGGUAGUCCACGCCGUAAA